UAGCGGCAGACGGGUGCGUAACGCGUAUGAAACUUACCCUACACAGGAGGAUAGCCUUGGGAAACUGAGAGUAACCCUCCAUAGUCUUGUCAUGCCGCAUGGUAUAAUAAGUAAAACUUCGGUGGUGUAGGAUAGUCGUGCGUCCGAUUAGCUAGUUGGUGAGGUAAUGGCUCACCAAGGCGACGAUCGGUAGCUGGUCUGAGAGGAUGAUCAGCCACACGGGCACUGAGACACGGGCCCGACUCCUACGGGAGGCAGCAGUAAGGAAUAUUGGACAAUGGACGGAAGCCUGAUCCAGCCAUUCCGCGUGCAGGAUGAAGGCCCUCGGGUUGUAAACUGCUUUUGUACAGAACGAAAAGGUUUCUAUUAAUACUAGGAGCUCAUGACGGUACUGUAAGAAUAAGCACCGGCUAACUACGUGCCAGCAGCCGCGGUAAUACGUAGGGUGCAAGCGUUAAUCGGAAUUACUGGGCGUAAAGCGUGCGCAGGCGGUUAUAUAAGUCAGAUGUGAAAUCCCCGGGCUCAACCUGGGAACUGCAUUUGAGACUGUAUAGCUAGAGUACGGUAGAGGGGGAUGGAAUUCCGCGUGUAGCAGUGAAAUGCGUAGAUAUGCGGAGGAACACCGAUGGCGAAGGCAAUCCCCUGGACCUGUACUGACGCUCAUGCACGAAAGCGUGGGGAGCAAACAGGAUUAGAUACCCUGGUAGUCCACGCCCUAAACGAUGUCAACUGGUUGUUGGGUCUUAACUGACUCAGUAACGAANCUAACGCGUGAAGUUGACCGCCUGGGGAGUACGG
RNAcentral lists this ribosomal RNA (798 nucleotides) under uncultured bacterium. Its description in RNAcentral is "bacterial SSU rRNA". It matches the Rfam family "Bacterial small subunit ribosomal RNA", at positions 93 to 885 of the family's 1533-position model. The record is from RNAcentral.